Molecule: transfer RNA, 79 nt
Filed under: Rhizobium sp. rho-13.1
Lineage: Bacteria; Pseudomonadati; Pseudomonadota; Alphaproteobacteria; Hyphomicrobiales; Rhizobiaceae
Description: tRNA-Gly
Rfam family: tRNA
About the family: Transfer RNA (tRNA) molecules are approximately 80 nucleotides in length. Their secondary structure includes four short double-helical elements and three loops (D, anti-codon, and T loops).
Source: RNAcentral
GCUCCUAUAGCUCAGCUGGAUAGAGUACCCGCAGCCCGAGAGGGACGGAAGGUCGUCGGUUCGAAUCCGGCUAGGAGCC